Non-coding RNA from Peromyscus maniculatus bairdii (prairie deer mouse), 692 nucleotides. NCBI's taxonomy places the organism in Eukaryota, Metazoa, Chordata, Mammalia, Rodentia, Cricetidae. The record is from RefSeq and is a predicted model, not a curated record.
CUAGAGUAAAAAGAGUCAAGCUGCAGGUGACACAGCAGGUGGUAUCAGCCGACUUCUUAGACAGAUUCAUAGGGUGCUAUGAGGGUAAAGAGGAGGGAAUGAAGUAGAAUGAGGUAGUAAAGACCAUUAUUAGAUGUUGAUCUAGUGGCUUAUUUUCUCAGUUACUUAAAGCUCUACUUGUAUGGCCUAUUUGUCAAAGGAUAACUUCAAGUGGAACAAAAUGAUCCUAAAACGUAACUGAAAAAGAAAAAGGCCAUUGCCCUUAAUGACCUGCUGACUACUUCUGUAUUUUACAUAGCUUCUGUAAAAUCUUGCUUGCUUGACUGCCCAAGCUUGUCAUUUUAGAGUAUAAAGUGGACAUACAAACUGGACUUGGGACCACAACCUUUCAGGAGUUUUCUGUGCUUCAGUCCACCAGUGACACUCCUCUGUUCCACUCUCAUUGUUGUUGGAGUACUUACUUAUUCCAGAAAGAUCACUGCAACACUGCUUGAAAACUCUGAAAGGUGGGCUCUUAGCAGCCUCCUCGGGAGCAUAGACGGGCCACUUCCAUUCAACACUUGAGUGAGCCAGGCCACUUGGGCAGCCUCACUGAAGCCCACAACUGUGUCAAGAUGACUGACAAUAUCUUCUUGUUUGAGGGGAUCCAGAUGGUGUCUGACUUCCUUAGUGUGGAGUCUCUGUCUUUUGCU